Molecule: ribosomal RNA, 446 nt
Filed under: uncultured bacterium
Lineage: Bacteria
Description: partial 16S ribosomal RNA
Rfam family: Bacterial small subunit ribosomal RNA
Source: RNAcentral
CCUACGGGUGGCAGCAGUCGAGAAUCAUUCACAAUGGGGGAAACCCUGAUGGUGCGACGCCGCGUGGGGGAAUGAAGGUCUUCGGAUUGUAAACCCCUGUGAUGUAGGAGCAAAUGAAAAAGAUAGUACCACAAGAGGAAGCUACGGCUAACUCUGUGCCAGCGGCAGCGGUAAUGCAGAGGGCUCAAGCGUUGCUCGGAAUCACUGGGCGUAAAGCGUGCGGAGGCUGUUUCGUAAGUCGUGUGUGAAAGGCGUGGGCUCAACCCGCGGACGGCACAUGAUACUGCGAGACUAGAGUAAUGGAGGGGGAACCGGAAUUCUCGGUGUAGCAGUGAAAUGCGUAGAGAUCGAGAGGAACACUCGUGGCGAAGGCGGGUUCCUGGACAUUAACUGACGCUGAGGCACGAAGGCCAGGGGAGCGAAAGGGAUUAGAUACCCCAGUAGUC